UGCAGUCGAGCGGUAGCACAGGGAGCUUGCUCCUGGGUGACGAGCGGCGGACGGGUGAGUAAUGUCUGGGAAACUGCCUGAUGGAGGGGGAUAACUACUGGAAACGGUAGCUAAUACCGCAUAACGUCUACGGACCAAAGUGGGGGACCUUCGGGCCUCAUGCCAUCAGAUGUGCCCAGAUGGGAUUAGCUAGUAGGUGGGGUAAUGGCUCACCUAGGCGACGAUCCCUAGCUGGUCUGAGAGGAUGACCAGCCACACUGGAACUGAGACACGGUCCAGACUCCUACGGGAGGCAGCAGUGGGGAAUAUUGCACAAUGGGCGCAAGCCUGAUGCAGCCAUGCCGCGUGUGUGAAGAAGGCCUUCGGGUUGUAAAGCACUUUCAGCGAGGAGGAAGGGUACUGUGUUAAUAGCACACUGCAUUGACGUUACUCGCAGAAAAAGCACCGGCUAACUCCGUGCCAGCAGCCGCGGUAAUACGGAGGGUGCAAGCGUUAAUCGGAAUUACUGGGCGUAAAGCGCACGCACGCGGUUUGUUAAGUCAGAUGUGAAAUCCCCGCGCUUAACGUGGGAACUGCAUUUGAAACUGGCAAGCUAGAGUCUUGUAGAGGGGGGUAGAAUUCCAGGUGUAGCGGUGAAAUGCGUAGAGAUCUGGAGGAAUACCGGUGGCGAAGGCGGCCCCCUGGACAAAGACUGACGCUCACGUGCGAAAGCGUGUGGAGCACACACGAUUAGAUACCCUGGUAGUCCACGCUGUAUACGAUGUCUACUUGUAGGUUGUGCCCUUGAGGCGUG
RNAcentral lists this ribosomal RNA (793 nucleotides) under Serratia sp. UASWS0933. Its description in RNAcentral is "bacterial SSU rRNA". It matches the Rfam family "Bacterial small subunit ribosomal RNA", at positions 56 to 841 of the family's 1533-position model. The record is from RNAcentral. Lineage: Bacteria; Pseudomonadati; Pseudomonadota; Gammaproteobacteria; Enterobacterales; Yersiniaceae.